RNAcentral lists this ribosomal RNA (252 nucleotides) under uncultured bacterium. Its description in RNAcentral is "partial 16S ribosomal RNA". It matches the Rfam family "Bacterial small subunit ribosomal RNA", at positions 525 to 776 of the family's 1533-position model. The record is from RNAcentral.
ACGUAGGGUGCAAGCGUUAUCCGGAAUCAUUGGGUUUAAAGGGUCCGUAGGCGGUUUUUUAAGUCAGAGGUGAAAUCCUGCAGCUCAACUGUAGCAUUGCCUUUGAUACUGAAAGACUUGAGUUAUUGUGAAGUAGUUAGAAUGUGUAGUGUAGCGGUGAAAUGCAUAGAUAUUACACAGAAUACCGAUUGCGAAAGCAGAUUACUAACAAUAUACUGACGCUGAGGGACGAAAGCGUGGGUAGCGAACAGG